UACGUAGGGAGCAAGCGUUGUCCGGAAUCAUUGGGCGUAAAGCGCGUGUAGGCGGUUACCUAAGUCUGUUGUGAAAGGCGGAGGCUCAACCUUCGAAAGCCGAUGGAUACUGUGUGACUUGAGUACGGAAGAGGAGAGUGGAAUUCCUGGUGUAGCGGUGAAAUGCGCAGAUAUCAGGAGGAACACCAACGGCGAAGGCAGCUCUCUGGGACGUUACUGACGCUGAGACGCGAAAGCGUGGGGAGCAAACAGG
RNAcentral lists this ribosomal RNA (253 nucleotides) under uncultured bacterium. RNAcentral describes it as "partial 16S ribosomal RNA". It matches the Rfam family "Bacterial small subunit ribosomal RNA", at positions 524 to 776 of the family's 1533-position model. The record is from RNAcentral.